GACGAACGCUGGCGGCGUGCCUAACACAUGCGAGUCGAACGGAGUCGGCCCCGCAAGGGACUGACUUAGUGGCGAACGGGUGAGUAACGCGUGAGCAACCUGCCUUUCAGUGGGGGACAACAGUUGGAAACGACUGCUAAUACCGCAUAAUGCAUUUUGACCGCAUGAUCGAGAUGCCAAAGAUUUAUUGCUGAAAGAUGGGCUCGCGUCUGAUUAGAUAGUUGGUGAGGUAACGGCCCACCAAGUCGACGAUCAGUAGCCGGACUAAGAGGUUGAACGGCCACAUUGGGACUGGGAGACGGCCCAGACUCCUACGGGAGGAAGCAGUGGGGAAUAUUGGGCAAUGGGGGAAACCCUGACCCAGCAACGCCGCGUGAAGGAAGAAGGCUUUCGGGUUGUAAACUUCUUUUACCAGGGACGAAGAAAGUGACGGUACCUGGAGAAAAAGCCACGGCUAACUACGUG
This 465-nucleotide ribosomal RNA is filed under the name uncultured bacterium. RNAcentral's name for it is "partial 16S ribosomal RNA". It matches the Rfam family "Bacterial small subunit ribosomal RNA", at positions 28 to 507 of the family's 1533-position model. The record is from RNAcentral.